Molecule: long non-coding RNA, 221 nt
Filed under: Ananas comosus (pineapple)
Lineage: Eukaryota; Viridiplantae; Streptophyta; Magnoliopsida; Poales; Bromeliaceae
Description: long non-coding RNA (ACOM_LNC001016)
Source: RNAcentral
GUGAAGACGUACGGGCCGCCGUCGGAAUCACUCAAGUGACCUGCUCUCAUAUAGAAUUCUCUGAUCAACUCUAAACAGAAACCAGUUUGUUCCGGAAAAUCACAAAUCUGAUGAAGAUUUUCUUUUUCAAAUAAAUCCUGAAAUCCCGGCACACAGCUAAUAAUACUGGCAACGCCAACAUCGCGUUCACCAAUACAAUGCUUCGACGAGUACAUUGACCG